UAGGGAAUCUUCGGCAAUGGGGGCAACCCUGACCGAGCAACGCCGCGUGAGUGAAGAAGGUUUUCGGAUCGUAAAGCUCUGUUGUAAGAGAAGAACGUGUGUGAGAGUGGAAAGUUCACACAGUGACGGUAACUUACCAGAAAGGGACGGCUAACUACGUGCCGA
This 165-nucleotide ribosomal RNA is filed under the name uncultured bacterium. RNAcentral's name for it is "partial 16S rRNA". It matches the Rfam family "Bacterial small subunit ribosomal RNA", at positions 355 to 511 of the family's 1533-position model. The record is from RNAcentral.